GACGAACGCUGGCGGCGUGCUUAACACAUGCAAGUCGAGCGGUAAGGCCCUUUCGGGGGUACACGAGCGGCGAACGGGUGAGUAACACGUGGGUGACCUGCCCUUAGCUCUGGGAUAAGCCUGGGAAACUGGGUCUAAUACCGGAUAUGACUCCAUGACGCAUGUUGUGGGGUGGAAAGCCUUGUGCGGCUAGGGAUGGGCCCGCGGCCUGUCAGCUUGUUGGUGGGGUGAUGGCCUACCAAGGCGACGACGGGUAGCCGGCCUGAGA
Molecule: ribosomal RNA, 268 nt
Filed under: uncultured bacterium
Lineage: Bacteria
Description: partial 16S ribosomal RNA
Rfam family: Bacterial small subunit ribosomal RNA
Source: RNAcentral